AUACGGAGGAUGCGAGCGUUAUCCGGAUUUAUUGGGUUUAAAGGGAGCGUAGGUGGGAUAUUAAGUCAGCUGUGAAAGUUUGGGGCUCAACCUUAAAAUUGCAGUUGAUACUGGUUUCCUUGAGUACGGUACAGGUGGGCGGAAUUCGUGGUGUAGCGGUGAAAUGCGUAGAUAUCACGAAGAACUCCGAUCGCGAAGGCAGCUCACCGGGCCGGAACUGACACUGAUGCUCGAAAGUGCGGGUAUCAAACAGGAUUAGAUACCCUGGUAGUCCGCACAGUAAACGAUGAAUACUCGCUGUUUGCGAUACACGGUAAGCGGCCAAGCGAAAGCGUUAAGUAUUCCACCUGGGGAGUACGCCGGCAACGGUGAAACUCAUAUGAAUUGACGGGG
This 393-nucleotide ribosomal RNA is filed under the name uncultured bacterium. Its description in RNAcentral is "partial 16S ribosomal RNA". It matches the Rfam family "Bacterial small subunit ribosomal RNA", at positions 523 to 918 of the family's 1533-position model. The record is from RNAcentral.